Molecule: ribosomal RNA, 840 nt
Filed under: uncultured archaeon
Lineage: Archaea
Description: bacterial SSU rRNA
Rfam family: Archaeal small subunit ribosomal RNA
Source: RNAcentral
UGAGAUUAAGUCAUGCAAGUUCAGGCGACUAGUUCGCCUGGCAAACUGCUCCGUAACGCGUAGAUAAUCUAACCUUAGGUAAAGCAUAAUCCCGGGAAACUGGGCCUAAUUCUUUAUAGGUGCUUAGUUCUGGAAUGGCUUAGCAUUAAAAGCUUCGGCGCCUAAGGAUGAGUCUGCGUCCGAUUAUGCUAGUUGGUGGUGUCAAGGACCACCAAGGCUACGAUCGGUACGGGCCAUGAGAGUGGUAGCCCGGAGAUGGUCACUGAGAUAACGGACCAGGCCCUAUGGGGUGCAGCAGGCGCGAAAACUGACCAAUGCGCGAAAGCGUGAGUCGGUCAAUCCGAGUGUAGACCCAUCGGUUUACUUUUAUCAUGUGUACAAAGCUUGGUGAAUAAUGUGAGGGCAAGACUGGUGCCAGCCGCCGCACGUAAAACCAGCUCAUAGAGUGGUGAUCAUGAUUAUUUGGCUUAAAGUGUGCGUAGCAGGGAAUUCUAAGUCCUCUGUGAAAUGUCAGGUCUUAAGCUUGACACGUGCAGAGGAUACUGGAAUCCUUGGGACCGGGAUAGGUGUAAUGUACGGUUUGGGUAGGGGUGAAAUCCGAUAAUCCAAGCCGGACAACCGGUGGCGAAGGCGUUACACUGGAACGGGUCCGACUGUGAGGCACGAAAGCUAGGGUCGCGGGCCGGNAUUAGAUACCCGGGUAGUCCUAUGCUGUAACGAUGCUCAUUAAGUGUUAGGUAAUGCAAGACAUUCUCUAGUGCCGAAGCGAAAGCGUUAAUGAGCCNCCUGGGAAGUACGUCNCCAGAAUGAAACUUAAGGAAUUGGCGGGGCCCUACUACA